UCUAUUUGCAAAAACCCAGGCCUUUAUAUUGGCUAAUGCCUGAGAGCGCCAUUUUGGCCUGUUUAGCGUGCAUAUUCUGUAGACGCACUGCUUGGCCACCUUUUGCACCUGCAAGUGGAGUGGUAUGAUGUCCAGCAGUGCAUCUAGGGCCGCUCCCGGUGUCGAGGAGAAGGCACCUGUUACUGUUAAACAAGCCGUGCGUUGCAGGCUGUUUAGAGUGUCUAUUGCUUUUCUAUUGCCGUCUUUUGACUGGUUUUGUUACACCAGACUGCGGAGGCGUAGGUGACAAUUGGCCUCACUACCGCUGUGUAUAACCACAUAGCAAUUUUGAUCUUAAGCCCCAUCUUGCUCCUGCCAUUCGACAGCAUGACCACAUGGCCAUUUUCGCUUUUUGUAGAAUGUUUCUCAGGUGAGGGUUCCAAGUUAACUUUUGGUCAAAGGUGACCCCUAGAUACUUGACCUCUGCCGAGAACGGUAUUAUUUGUCCAUUAAGUCUUGGUUUUGUGAGUUUAUCGAGCUUCCGUUUCCUUGUGAAUGGUUAAAUGGCUAUUACAGUCUUGCUCGGAUUAAUGGACAAGUCAUUUUCUCUACACCAUUUGAAUAUUAUGUUUAGAGCUCCUUGCAUUAGGUUGGAUAUUGUGUUGAGGCAAGGGCCUUUGACGAUGACUACAAGGUCGUCGGCAUAUCCUUGUGUAUCAAAGU
Long non-coding RNA from Cydia splendana, 702 nucleotides. RefSeq lists it as uncharacterized. NCBI's taxonomy places the organism in Eukaryota, Metazoa, Arthropoda, Insecta, Lepidoptera, Tortricidae. The transcript is spliced from 3 exons. The record is from RefSeq and is a predicted model, not a curated record.